This 253-nucleotide ribosomal RNA is filed under the name uncultured bacterium. Its description in RNAcentral is "partial 16S ribosomal RNA". It matches the Rfam family "Bacterial small subunit ribosomal RNA", at positions 524 to 776 of the family's 1533-position model. The record is from RNAcentral.
UACAGAGGAGCCAAGCGUUGUCCGGAUUGACUGGGCGUAAAGCGCACGCAGGCGGUCGCGCGCGUGGGGUGUGAAAUCUGGCCGCUUAACGGCCAGGCGCCAUCCCAUACGGCGCGACUGGAGUGAUGCAGAGGUCGGUGGAAUUGCCGGUGUAGUGGUGAAAUGCGUAGAGAUCGGCAGGAACACCCAGGAGGAAACCAGCCGACUGGGCAUCUACUGACGCUGAGGUGCGAGAGCGUGGGGAGCGAACCGG